UAAAGCAAAGAAGGAAAGAAAAGAAAAGAAGAAACUGAUUGGAGUGCUUGGAUUUUUUUUGUGAUUUUUUUUGUUUUCGAUAAAUUUAUUUUCAUU
RNAcentral lists this non-coding RNA (96 nucleotides) under Paramoeba aestuarina. Lineage: Eukaryota; Discosea; Flabellinia; Dactylopodida; Paramoebidae. The record is from RNAcentral.